CGGACGGGUGAGUAAUGUCUGGGAAACUGCCCGAUGGAGGGGGAUAACUACUGGAAACGGUAGCUAAUACCGCAUAACGUCGCAAGACCAAAGAGGGGGACCUUCGGGCCUCUUGCCAUCGGAUGUGCCCAGAUGGGAUUCGCUAGUAGGUGGGGUAACGGCUCACCUAGACGACGAUCCCUAGCUGGUCUGAGAGGAUGACCAGCCACACUGGAACUGAGACACGGUCCAG
Molecule: ribosomal RNA, 232 nt
Filed under: uncultured bacterium
Lineage: Bacteria
Description: partial 16S ribosomal RNA
Rfam family: Bacterial small subunit ribosomal RNA
Source: RNAcentral